UCCAAAUUUCACAUUUCCUUUUUUUAAUGGUUGUUCCAUGUUUUGUUUUGUACGUACCCUUCUUAGUGCAGUAUAAAAAGUUCCGUUAUUUCGUUUUGGUCAAUAAUUUAAAUUAAUUUUUUUUUCUACCAAGAAACAAAUCCAAACGAAUUGUGACAUUCAAAGCUCCGAUCCUCUCCUUCCCCAUCAAAAUUCAACCACAGAGCCCGAACUCCUCCUGAUUUUCUUUUCCUUCUGUUCUCUUUUGGUUAAGUACGAACACGAAAUUGAGGCUUUUGUUUCUCGUUUGCAAUUUUUUUUUUUUUCAAAAAAAAAAAAAACUAUUUAAAUUUAAAUGAGUUCGGAAGGGUAUUAUCAUAUCUUCAGCUGAUUCAGCGCGGUAGCUACUGCACUUCUCAAAUGAAAUACAUAGACAAAUCUUCUCAUAGAAACGAAGCAGAUGGAAGGCAUUGAUAGUUCCAUCCAAAAGGAUUAUUACAAAGUUUUAGAGGUUGAUUAUGAUGCAACUGAGGAGAAUAUCAGAUUAAAUUACCUGAGGCUUGCACUGAAGUGGCAUCCUGACAAGCACAAGGGUGACAGUGCUGUCACGGCAAAGUUCCAGGAGAUCAAUGAAGCUUACAAAGUGUUGAUUGAUCCUGAUAAACGAAUUGACUAUGAUCUAACCGGAAUCUACGAGAUUGAUAAGUAUACUUUGCGGGAAUAUCUUGCCAGAUUUAAAGGAUUGAUACUUACCUGCAAUGGGCUUGGCAUCAGUCAAUCGCCAACAAGGAUCCUAUUCAAAGGGGAACUGUUUUGUGAAAAAGGAAGUGAUAGCAACUGCACUAGAUUGAUGUGCACGUGAGGCUCCAAUGCUGGAAGCUGAAUGGGAUGUUAGAGAUCUUCUAUGAAUACUUUUUUCACAGCUGUAAACAGAUAUAAUGAUGAUAUUGGGAUUAGUUCUGGCCCUCAGUUUCUGCAUAUGCUUCCUAAGGACACAGCAGCAACUGACAGAAACCAAUGAGUUAACAGAUAAAUAUGAGGAAUAGAGUUUUCACUGAAUGCUAAAAAUCACCAUCAACUGCUUCAAGGUCUUUUUGACAGAAGCUAUCCGAGAGCUCCUGAACCAAAGGCAGGGAAGCACUGAGAUGGUGCUGUUCCAUCAGGAAUCUUGUUUUUGACCAGAUUGGGUGGGAGUGCCGUCCUUUGGAACAGUGUGAAAACGCAAGGGUUUGGUUUCAAAGUCAUGACAUUGAAAAAUGUCACAAAGAAAAGAGAUUGUUUCCAUAUGCCCGAAAGUUGAAAAGAUUAGUACAUAGAAACUAAGAAUGUGAUGUCUGAUUUGGAAAGUCUCAAAUCUACCUCCAAAAAGCUACUAAACUUCUAUUUUGUGGAGAUUAUUAUGUCUCUUGUAUAUUUAUUUCUCCUGAUGGUUAUGGACAUGAUUUUCUUCCUUUUUUCUUUUU
RNA transcript from Carya illinoinensis, 1442 nucleotides. It is a transcript of the gene named dnAJ-like protein slr0093, with no coding region annotated. The record is from RefSeq and is a predicted model, not a curated record. Lineage: Eukaryota; Viridiplantae; Streptophyta; Magnoliopsida; Fagales; Juglandaceae. The transcript is spliced from 8 exons.